GAAACGCGAUAAGUAAUGUGAAUUGCAGAAUUCAGUGAAUCAUCGAAUCUUUGAACGCACCUUGCGCUCCUUGGUAUUCCUUGGAGCAUGCCUGUUUGAGUAUCAUGAAAUCUUCAAAGUAAAUCUUUUGUUAACUCAAUUGGUUUCUACUUUGGUAUUGGAGGUCUUUGCAGCUUCACACCUGCUCCUCUUUGUUCAUUAGCUGGAUCUCAGUGUUAUGCUUGGUUCCACUCGGCGUGAUAAGUUAUCUAUCGCUGAGGACACUGUAAAAGGUGGCCAAGGUAAAUGCAGAUGAACCGCUUCUAAUAGUCCAUUGACUUGGACAAUACUUUUAUGAUCUGAUCUCAAAUCAGGUAGGACUACCCGCUGAACUUAAGC
This 378-nucleotide unclassified non-coding RNA is filed under the name plant metagenome. RNAcentral describes it as "partial contains 5.8S ribosomal RNA, internal transcribed spacer 2, and large subunit ribosomal RNA". The stretch from base 1 to 105 matches the Rfam family "5.8S ribosomal RNA", at positions 50 to 154 of the family's 154-position model. The record is from RNAcentral.